AGGAUUUCUGUCUCCUUUGGAAAUCUCAGCGGAUGGGGGAAUCCAAGACGAGGGGACACAUUUUUAAGAGACUUGCCUCAUUUCAACGAACUAAGUACCUGAUCAAAGAAACUGGCAUUGGAAAGUUGUGGGUGAGACCACUGAGAAUCACUUUGCUGCAACCACUUUCUUGUGACCUCUUCAUAAGUUCCCUUAUGCC
Molecule: long non-coding RNA, 199 nt
Organism: Hemiscyllium ocellatum (epaulette shark)
Lineage: Eukaryota; Metazoa; Chordata; Chondrichthyes; Orectolobiformes; Hemiscylliidae
Exons: 3
Source: RefSeq, a predicted model, not a curated record